GGUAAUGUAGAGUUGUGUGUAGUAAUGGGGUAAUGUAGAGUUGUGUGUAGUUGUGUGGUAAUGUAGAGUGAGAUUCGGUCCUGGCAGCAUCAUGAGGAAGUGUGUGUGUGUGUGUGAGAGUGUGUGUGAGUGUGUGUGUGUGUUUGCUUCUCAUCCUUUGUCAGGAAACGGUACGACUUCUCCUCGCGGCUCCUGAACGUAACCGCUGACACAAACAGGGACAACAGACCUCACGGAGACGAAGGCUUCCAGUCGGUUCUGUGGUGAGAUGAACGUCCCUCAUGGCGCUUAUUGUCCCAGAGAUCAGCGUUCUCACCGCCGCACCUCGUCCACGAGGAGUCCUGUCUGAGCCCGCCUCUCCCGGUUGCCAAGCAACGGCACGGAAACGAACUUUCACUGAUGUCAAAGUAGCGUGACCCCGAGGGUCCGCUUGUCACGCUGAGACAAACACAUGGUGGAGCUCCACCAGCAGCUCGGAACCCUCGAUGAACUUCAGGAAAACGCUUGUCUUCAUUCUGUGGACAGACGAUAUUCACCAGGGACGUCAGAGAAUAUCUUGUUCGUCGACUCCCAUUCUGAACUUUUUGGAGAGGAGCAGUCACUAAAGUUCUUUUUCUGCACAGCUAAUAAAAAUAAAAAACAUUUAGGGUUUGGGAAUAAACUUCUGGUCUAUGGCAGCGUUUUGCUCCAAACCGCAUCAACAAACCAUUAUGGACGUCUUGCAGCUUUCGCUCAGACCUCUGACUCGUCUCUCCUUCACAGCUACGACGGCUCUGGCACACGCGCAUCGCUGUAUUUACAGCCACUUACCAUCUCCAACUGACGUUAGAACAUGAUUUCUCUGAAACAAAAUUGAAAUGAUUAAAAGCACAACAUCAACCUAUGCUCCUGGAGCCGCCCCCCCCCCCCCCCCCCUCCAUUACAUCACUGCCCAAAGAAAACAAACCAAAACACCAAAUGACGGGUCUCUCUUACUCUCUGAGGGUCGUAAAACGGCCAAUUAUACAUGUGAUCAGGUAUGUGGAGCAAACGGCACGGUGGGAAUGUUGUGCGUCCACACACAUACACACAAACAGCAGUGUAACAGCUGAGCACUUUUCGGCCCACAGACCUGCACAGGUACCCACGACAGCUCCCCCCCUGGUGCCUUCGUUGCCAUGGCGACUGCCCUUUGAUGCUCAACGAGGCCUCCUUGUUUCCGCCCUGUGACCGAAGACGAUCACGUUUGCUGCAGUGACUGCAGGAACUUCGCCCGUACGGCACCGCGUGUUCAACCCCUGCUGUGUCCUGCAUUUAGUUGCGUUGCGAUCUGGAAGUUAAAUUGAUUUUUGAUUGAUUUUUUUUUAUGCCAUAUUGUCGAUACUAGUGAGAGAAAAUGUAUAGAUGUACGUGUUUGCAGCAGCGUGCAGCUCGUCUGGUUUUCUCUGCGGCUCCUUCAUGUCGGCCGAGCAAUCGAAACACUUCACGAUGUUCAUUUUUAUGGAGCCACUGCACGAGCCAUUUGUUCGCAUUACUUUUAACUCUGACAAAGCAUGAACUCGGCCUGUUAUGUUUCCCUAACUAAUAAUUACUAAUCAGAGGAAAUGUUCCCCUCAGCGAUACAUUUCUGGAUUUGGAGCCUCGGAGGAAAAACUCCGACAGGCACUUGGAUUUAUGUUAUUUGUGUUUCUGUAAUUGGGAGUAAAUCUGCUCUAAAUCUCCUAACGUGCAUCUGCGCUGCCUCUUGAACUCUCGAGUGCUCACAUGUGUUAUUUUUUCUUUGAUGGCGAUAAUCAGCGGAAAGAAAGGAAACUAGAGAGGGACAAAGAGGGAGAGACCAGAACAAAAAAAUGUGCAAAUGAGGCAAAGCAGCAGUUCUAUUAGAUAUUGAGGGCAAUAACAUGUACAGUACUUAAUAAACUGUGAGGAAGGGAUUCAGCCCAAACGUACCUGUUGAACUUGGCUUUUUGGUGAAUAAUUCUUUAUUGCUCAUAUCUGGUUUGUGUUUUUGACGUACAGAAAUAUGAAAGCCUAAAAACAAUCCCACAUUUGCAAUGAGAGAAGAGAAAAUAGAGGAAAUGAGCGUGUGUGUUACAUGAAUUCUUGUCCCUCUACGUCCGCUAAGAAAACAUAUCUGGAACUUAUUGUGUUUUUGAUGGCAGCGAUCGGUCGCACGUAAUAAAAACACAUGAGAGAAGAGCAUGAAACAGGAAAAGAGGUCCAAAGGGUUAAAUUCAACUUAAGGAAGUAAUAUAGGAGCAGGUAUCUCUUCAUGCACCUGCAGCUCGACUGAAUCAUUUAAUGUUUCACUGGGCUGUGGUCCAACAUAACGCAGUUCUCUGACCUCUUCUCUCUGCAUCCAAACAGUUUGACUCCUUUCCUUUUAGUUUACUUCAUCAUCGCUUUCAGAUCUCGCGUUGUACUUUCUGUGCGUCUCGCCGGUUCAUCUUUAUUACACUUUAACAUUAUGUCUUAUUCCCUUUCGAUUGAAUGACCCCUCGCUCUUAAUUAACAUCGUCCGUUAGUCCCGUGAUGCCAGGUUUCCCACAAUGCCUUUCAGCUAGAAGCAUCCGUUGUGGCUGCACCUUUUUCUUCUUCGUCUUCAUGCAGAGACGUCCUGACUUGUGUUUAGGAGACGAAGUCGAGCAGUGGGACACGGCGUCCUGGCCGUGGACCUGAGGCCGAGGAGUCCGCCGCCUCGGUUCCCCUCUGAACCAGAGCCUCCGCGCUCCGGUUGCGUAAUCGCCUUCUGAUUCCAGGCGAUAAGUACGGUUCCUGGAAGCUUUGUCAGCUUGUUCUCCUCCACCGGGCAGCUGCAACUUCUCUAAAUAUGCUGUUUGUUGUGUCAGGAACACGAUCAGUGCUUCGAUAAAGCGUGAGGGAACUUCUGACCGUUUGGUCGGCGAACUCCCUGAAGGAGGUAUCACACAGACCCGGUUCCCUGGUCUGGUUAUUGCAUCUCAUCUCCUCCUUGCUGAUAUAAAAUACGCGUAUUUUUUUUAAAGGAUUAUUUUCCUCUGCACGUCUUUUUUUUUUUUACAAAAGAGCAUGUGACCUUUGUUUGCUCGAUGUCUGGCUUUGUUCUGGAACGAGAUACCUGCUUUAAUGCCUCUCGCGGUUUAUGUGAAUUCUGGUCCCGCAGCCAUCCAGCGCGUAUCGCUUGGAUUCCCAGCCAGUCGGCUUGGAUGCACCUUGUGCAGCAAAGUGUCUACGCCGUGGACACGUAGACUCUACGGGAAGAAACAAACCGCCCGGUUUGUGCGACGCAUCGUGCACGCAGUCAAAACGUUAAAUAGCGGCUUCCUGCAUCGACCUCCUGUUUGUUUCCCAGCUGCUCGGAGCCGCUCUGCAAGCAGAUGCACUUUUUAUUACAGCUUUUAUUUUUUCUUCCGCUAAACACGGACGGAAAUCUAAGAAAGGCUUUGUGUUUAUUGGUCCAAAUGACACGAAGGCCGUGCGUCUGGGGAAGGAGCCCAGUGGAGUCACGCUGCACCUCUGAGCAAUAGGAACAGGCUCAUUGUACGAAUGCUGACCUCUGACCUUCGGUACACCGGCCAGCACGCGCAGACUUUUGUCCUUUUAACGUCCUCCGCAGCCGUUUCACUGUUUGUCCUCUCGGGGGACAUUUGACGUUACCUGUGGGGGGAACGAGAGCAGGAGAGCAGCUGGGUGACCAGGUGGAGUUGGGGGGACGCUUCGGAGGCUUUGGGGGGUCACAUGUUUGACCCCAACCGACCACGAGACUAAUCACAGGCGCCUUUGUGUUCCGACAACGAGAACCAACACGACGCCGCUGUAGAGCUCGCCGGAGUCUGUGUUUGCGUGCUCUUUUUAUGAAUGAGCAGCCUUCAUACGUGUGCAGUGCCGUGUUGUGUGUGCGUGUGCGUGUGUGGGCUUUCAGUUAGACUUCAUCAUUAAAAAAGGAUGUAAAGCAGAAACAUUCUCUUCCCAUGUGGUCUGCGUCUCUCAGCACACAACCUACUGUGUGUGCGUUUGUAGACAUUACAUUUGUGCGCCCACAUUGUGGAGGUUUGGGUGUGAACGUGCGUCCCUCCUCUACGCUCACAGCGCGUUCACGAAGGUUUAAAACAAGAAGAUCAAAUUGGCCGUUAAAAAAAAAAACGAGAAUUAUGCCGGAAAACAUCAUUAUUCAUCCGGACAUCAGCACACGUUCAAUCAUCCUGCCGCUUCGCCUCCCAGAGAGCAGCCCUCCUCUCGCUCCUCCCCCACUCGACUCCUCUGCCUCCCUCAUGACUGCCCCGUCCCCCGUGAUGUCACAGAAUCCUCUGUAUUUCACUGCAGGCCUCAAAUCAGGGAGGGAACCUUUAACUGAGCCGCAGAGAGAAAAGAUGCUGAUCGUUAAAUCGCACAUCCAGAUGUUCCUUUGCUUGCAGGGUGUCUGUUGUAAACAUUGCUCCUAUAGAGACAACAAUCAAACAUCAAAUCUUAGUAUUUGUGUGUAUAUAACAUUUCAAGUUGAAACACUGACAGACAAAGAUGAAUCCCACUGAUAGGUGGGAUAUUCAGAGCAAUGGAGCCUCAACAGAUACAGAAAGAGACGUUUGAGACAAAAAACAAGAAAUCCUUCAAAAAGCCCUUUGAUGCGUCCGGGUAACCUGAGGACCUGAUUGAGAGCACUUCACGUGGUUUGGUGUAACGUGAGCCUCUGGGACGUCGUCCCGAAGCACUUAACGAGGAAAUGACCGCCACACGCUGGGUAAUUUGUGCCAAUUAACCACCACGGAAACCGCUGAGGUAAAGAUAUCAGCUGUCCUUUAAUCAGGGCGUCUGAGGUAAUGCUGAGAAACACACACACACACACACACAUCAUGACAUUACCGACCGCGGGCUCAGUUCACUGUUGGUAAUGUCACCACUUCCUCCCAAGUUCAGACCAUAAAGAUAAAAAUAGCAGAGGAAAUGUACACUGUCCAGAAUAUAAUUGUAAAUGGGACGUCCCAGAGGGGACUUUUGAUUUAUUAUACAUAUAUAUAUAUUUAUAUAUAUACAUUUUAUUCUAGCUGGCGUUGACUUUGAUCAAUGUUAGCUUCUGUUAGCGUUGUUGUUAACAAGCUGUCACACCGCUAAUACAUCGUUACAGACUCGCCAUGUCUCCUCUGAUGCUUCGUUUUCUUUUAUUUCUGCGUCUUUAAGGACUCAUUGGUCCAGCUUUUUAUUGCACCUCAAUUGGACAAAGUCACGGUAAAGCCGGGCGACGCAAAGACGCGGAAAACACAAUCACUUCAAAACCACCACACAUGGUUUGCAGUUUGCACGUGAAUGAAAAAAAGAGAUUCAGACACAAAUCCUGUUUUGCAUGAAAUAAAGUUGAAUAUUGUCAUAAAAAAAAUCAAAUGUGUGCACAAAUCACAUCACCACCAUUAUUCUUCAAAUACGUUUAUGGGAAAUGUGGUCUUAAUUUGGAGAGAAAAAAAGUAGGUACCUUUUAAUAAAGUUUAUGAGAAUCAAGUGAACGGCGUUGUUCUUGCCCAGUGAAGCUGGUUUGGUCCGAGGCGGAAACGAGGCCUCUGGCGGAGUAGAUGAUGAGUAGAGAUCACUUCUUCUGACACUGAGCUAUUAGGUGAGGCAGGUGACCCCCGGAUGAGGAGAAGAAGCUGCUGUGAUUGUGUGACCCGGAGCUCCAUGAAGGUCGCGGCUCUCCUCGAGUAGAAGAAGCUCCCCAAAGGUCGGUGGAGCACGAUGAGGAGCACGUCCCUCCUCUUCCUCCCGGGUUUCUCUGCAACAAUCACAAAAAUAUGUUUUUUCAUCUGCACGGAGGCCGCUUGUUGGUUUAUCAAUCCACCGCUGACAGAUAGGGGAAAGAAACAGAGACCCCCGAGGUAUUUACAUCCGGUCUUUAUCUCCUGGAAGUGGUUUGUGCAGCGGGGGCCAUGUUGGCUUCAUAUAUCAGAGACAGGCGGGUAAUUGCUUUGUCAGACCGGGGAAUUCCUCCUCUGUACAAUAUGUGUGCAUGCAGACGAUCCGCCACUGUGUUUUUUGUUUUUAAGUACAAUUUGGCUGGUUUCAUUUAAUCAGAAACUACUUUUCUCGACCACAUUCAAGCCCCCCCCCCCCCCCCCCCACACGCUCUGCAGUGCUUCAGACAGUCGUAUUAUUUGGCUGAAUCCCAGCAGUUUGGACUCGCCGGGGAGCACGCCAACCCGAACCGCACCAGGGCGAGCCGGAGGACGUCGCUCAGAGGCAACGGGCGUCUCCGGAGCGGCGCCUGCGGGACCUCUGGAGCUCUGCGCCGCGAUCCGGCGUCCAGGUCCAGACUGUGAGGGUUCGACCUCCCCAAACCUUCAGAGGACAUCGAGGACGUCUCGUCACAGGCCUUUGGGAGACGGCAGAAGUGGAGAAUGGGAUGAAAUAAAUACGAUGUCUUAAUACAAUGAACAGUAAAUGACUGUAUUUGUAGUGGUUUAUUUUCCAAUUUGGGUUUUCUGUACAUUGCCAAGUAGUUCUGUUGCCUGAACCAAGAAAUGAAAUUGAAAAUACAGUUUUGUGAUGACAAAAUGAAUCAUCUUAAAGAGUGAUGGAAAGCGCUACGCUUCUGAUUGACAGUCAUGUCACGCUCAUCUUGCUCAUUUUAACUGCCGUUGGUACAUUUGUAUUCCCCCCAUCCAUGAACUAAAACGUGUCACAAUCCAUGAAUAAGCCAGCGUGUGUGCUUAUCUGGUGUAAGUAUGUCCCUGAAUACCAGCAGGGUGUCCUCAUGCGUAACCCUGGCGAUGUCUCACGGACUCAGCGCCGCUGGUCCUGGAAUGAAGAAUGUUGAAAGACGCGAUCCAAGCGUUCAAUGUUUGUGUCUCUGACGCUCAGAAAUGCCAUUUAUCAGCCAAGCAGCGCUCGGCCACGAGGAUUCAAGCAGCCAGCUCACAACGGCGGCCUCGUGACGCCGCGACCGAACACCGGAAGGAAGAAAACGCCGAGUGGAUGAGGCCUUACUGCCCCACACACACACACACACACACACACUCCAGGUGGAGUCCCAUGAUCCCGCGGGCGGCGCGGCGCUCCUCGCCCACCUCCUGCACCACGCAUCGGCUCUGCCGCGGCUUAUCUGCUGUAUUUACCACUGCAGCUCUGCCUGGAAGCUGUAGCCGAGUCAGGAAUUCAGAGUUGUGACAAGGUUUACGUUGGCCGGAGCGCCCGAAACUGGAGCCGAGCAACUCAAAUAAAUCAUCCAAAGAGAGAGAGGAGGACAAACAAAUAGCUUUCUGCAAAACAGUGUUUCAAGCAAUGGCUUUUUUGGCAAGAGAUGGAGAGAGACAGAUUAGGGUCCGAAAGAUAAAAGUCAGGUGAAGUGAAUUCAUUUCAGAGACCGAAGUUGAAGAUGGCGAUCGUGAGUCAGCAGUUGAUCCCCAAAAGCUUCAGGGUUCAAACAAACUACCAGACCGAAUGUGGUCCAGCGACGAGAAAAAGAAAAGCAAAAGGAAAAAGAGGAGAGAAAAAGGGAAGAAUGGAACAGACUGAUUGACCGACUCGCCGCCUGCUUUUCUUACAGCUUCAAAAAGCGUCUUGAGCUGCAGGAAGAUAAGCAGAAAGUAAGAUAUUUUCAAUUUGCUUUUAAAGUUGUCAGUGCUGCUUUAUUUUCCUACCAAACAAGACCCAUUUUAUAAAGCGUCAUCGUCUGAAGUUCUGAGGUCAUCUGAUGAUUUCUUUGUUUCUCCUCAUUUAUCGAUAGUUUCCUAUUUUCUUAGUCUUAUUUUGAAAUACUCGUCUUUGUUAAUACCUUCAGUCCUUUAAUAAGUUUCUUUCUCGCCUGUUUAUUCUGGUUUUUUUCACGUCCUCUUUUUCUAUUUGUGUUUUCUUUCCUUUGACAUUUCACUUUUCUUACCCAGAGCGUUGUGACGUUUUGGUCGUAACACCUGAAAGACGUUGAAAGUCCUCCGCGCUUUAACAGCAGACGUUAGCGACAGUUAGCAGUUAGCAGGACUCCUUCUACAUGUCAUCAUCAAACCACUUCCAACCAAAGGAAAUGACCAAUAACUCCGACAUCCCCGUUGAUCGUUUGAACGUUUUACGUCAGUUGAAUUUCACAAAGUAUCUGCAGUGUUUUUUAGUCGGAUUCCUUCUAACUGCAGAGACUAAACACGUGUGUCCAGGAACACAAGAGCCUCGUGAUUGAGACAAAUUUCACAAUUACACACUCAGUCAUAUUAUACUUCCUCUCGCUGUUUCUGUUUUUGUUUUUUAGCCUCCUCAUUAAUCUUUCAUUUAACCUCAAAAGACCCGCAUUCCUUUUUCUCCCCUUCUGUUCUCUCUCUCCUCCCCCGCCUGGACGUUCUCCCGCUCGGUUUUCUUCUUCUUGUCCACGAGCUCCUGAACUUACAGGUACAUUUAUAAACGUUAGCGGUCCAAGUGGACCACGUGUACGUGGCACUGCUUUUCCAAGACAACAGCCUUAAAUGUAGUACAUUCUACUGGCUGAAACGCGACUACAUCAUAUAUAAAUAUAUAUAAAUAUAAGUGGGUGAGAGAUUGACUCGGUGGGGGUCCCGCUGCCGUCGACUUCACCGUUUGACAGAAGCUGCAUGCGGGUUAAGAGUCCGAGCGCGCACUGAGAACAAGAUCAGCUUCAAAUAGCUGAUCUAUUGCUCCGAUUAACAGUCGAUUAAUCACACAACUGAAAGGAGCUUGCGGAUGACGUGUUGCUUUGGCCCUUGGCCGACACGGUUAAUCACGCGGCCCCCGACCUUCCUCGUUCCUCUCACCGCCUCCACAGCCGCCUGCCAUCCCUGUUCCACCGAGCACCACGUCUGCACCAUGACGAGGCGACAACAGGAGCGACUUCCUCCGCUGCCAGAGAGCGCCGCGAGUUCAAGUAGGCCGAGGCGAAGAAGUCGCCUUGUUGCAUUGACUUCGGCGGGGCCGUCCGGGGGGGGGGGGCGACAAACGAGGCUCACGGGGG
Gasterosteus aculeatus aculeatus (three-spined stickleback) is the source of this 8893-nucleotide long non-coding RNA. The record is from Ensembl. NCBI's taxonomy places the organism in Eukaryota, Metazoa, Chordata, Actinopteri, Perciformes, Gasterosteidae.